RNAcentral lists this ribosomal RNA (502 nucleotides) under uncultured bacterium. Its description in RNAcentral is "partial 16S ribosomal RNA". It matches the Rfam family "Bacterial small subunit ribosomal RNA", at positions 30 to 523 of the family's 1533-position model. The record is from RNAcentral.
AUUGAACGCUGGCGGAAUGCUUUACACAUGCAAGUCGAACGGCAGCAUAGGUGCUUGCACCUGAUGGCGAGUGGCGAACGGGUGAGUAAUACAUCGGAACGUGCCCAGUCGUGGGGGAUAACGUAGCGAAAGUUACGCUAAUACCGCAUACGAUCUAAGGAUGAAAGCGGGGGACCGUAAGGCCUCGCGCGGUUGGAGCGGCCGAUGGCAGAUUAGGUAGUUGGUGAGGUAAAGGCUCACCAAGCCGACGAUCUGUGGCUGGUCUGAGAGGGCGACCAGCCACACUGGGACUGAGACACGUCCCAGACUCCUACGGGAGGCAGCAGUGGGGAAUUUUGGACAAUGGACGCAAGUCUGAUCCAGCCAUUCCGCGUGCAGGACGAAGGCCUUCGGGUUGUAAACUGCUUUUGUACGGAACGAAAAAGCUCUUACUAAUACUAGGAGUCCAUGACGGUACCGUAAGAAUAAGCACCGGCUAACUACGUGCCAGCCGCCGCAGUAA